CACUCUCCUCCCCCUCCCUCCCUCUAUCCCCACCCGGGUUCCCGUCUCCAGGCUGCGUUAUCUGCAUCUUCACUUUUAAAUUUCCGCUUCCCUCCCUCUCGCCUGUCGCUGCGCGCCCGGCCCUGCAGCCGUUGCUCCCUUUAUCUCUGCCCGCAUCCCCGCUCCCUCCUCCUCUUCUCCCACUCUCUGCUCUUCCCUAGAGACCCGAACCCCUUCCCCGUCUCCUUCUUGCUUUGGCCCGUUUCCUGCCUUUCUGGGGCCCCCAAGCCUCAGGCCUGGUGCUGGGCCAUCUCUCCUGGCAACUUAUGAUGGGUGGCCCCCUCUUCUGUCCUCCCCGCCCCCUUCUAGGUCUCUCUUUACCUCCUAGGCUUUUCUCUCCGACUCUCAUCUCCCCUCCAGCCUUCUCUCUCCCUCUCAUCCUUCUCCCUCCCCUCCUUUUCUCAUUCAUUCAGUCCCCAUAAAUUAGUAGUGGCUUGGACUGCUGAAGGCCUCUAAAGAUGUUGAGAAUCUGUCCUGGCUUUCCCUGAUGGGUUCCUGAGCCCCCUGCUACUUCCCUGUACAACUAUUCUGCUCCCAUCCUUCCCCAUCCCCUGUCCUCCCAGUCUGCCACCCACCCUCACCACUACUCCCAUUCUGGCUAUCCCUGAACGAGGCUGGAGAGGUGGAGGGGUUAAGACAGGGUUGUGCACUGUACAAGGCUGGAAUCCACUCCAAGAAAAGGAUUCCUAUUUCUAACUCAUGCAAAGAUGUUGAUGUGGUUCCCAAGUGGCCUGGAGUCUCUCUGGGUACCUAUGGGGCUUCGUGGCUCUGGAGAGGCAGGCUAAGGAGGAUGCUGGCUGAAGAUGAGGCUCCAGCCCAGAAGCCCACCUUCUGCAGCCUUGCAGUAUGGAACGGGUACUGUCAAAACUGGCAUUCUCAAAGUCCUCUCUCACUGCUUGAGCCCAGGGGUGGAGGAGGCCUGGGAAUGGGCAGGUCUCCUGCUAAGUGCCUGGUCCUGGGAUGCCUGAUUGAGGAUGGCUGGAAACUCCUACUUCUGGGGUUCUACAGGGCCCAUGUUCACCCUCAUUUGCUGCAACUUCUGGAGUGUUCAUCUUUGCUCGUGGAGGGUGCAAAGGAGCCAGGGAGAAGAGUGGGAGGCAGAGUGUGGAGGGAAAAAGAGGGAUCCCAGGGCCUGGGAGGAUCCUAGUGGGACAGGGAUGAAGCCUUCAGGAUGUGGACCUGGAAUCUGGUGGGAGCAAAGACUAGAGGUUGGAAUGUUCCCUGUGGACCAAACUCAGGGCUCCACAGAAGGUGAGGGCCUUGAAGUUGGGGUCAAGAUCCCAAUCCCUCUCCUUCUCAUUCCUCUUUCUGCUUCCCCCACCCACUAUGGACAGAAAACAAGGAGCAGGAGGUAAGAACAGAAAAUAGCCAGGGGCAGGAGGUAAGAGCUGGGAAAGCUGGGAGGCAUCAAAAUUCGCCCACUUAAUGCUCUCAGUGGGAGGCUAAGGUGUAAAGGAGAGGGUCCUAGUGAGGUCUACCCAAAUAUCCCAGCUGUGAGCUGGGCAAGGAUCAACAGUAUAGGCUUUAUCCCUCAGUCUUACCCAGAAGUCAUUUGCUGAGGGGGUGGAGCACCAGGAAAUGUGUGCAUGGGGGGCAGUCAUCUCCACCCACCUGAGUCUUGAUCUUCUCCAUCCCCUCCUGCUGCAAGUACAGCUAGGGAAGCCAACAGGAGAGUCCUUGGCAGUUUCCCCUUCAUCCCCUUCCUACCCUGCUGAGCGCUGGUCCCAUGUGGUUCUGCAGAUGGCCAGCCUGCCCAGAAUGAAUGGAGGACCAGAAGGUCCAGAGUCACACUUCUAGUUCCUGAAGCCAUCUUGCUGAUUCUUCCCAGCAACCACAGAUACCCCUGUAGGGAGAGCAGCUCAGUCAAGGGCAGAUUCCAGAUCUCCCUUUGCUCAUUGCCUGCUCCCCAAAGCAAGCAGUGGGGAAGUGGCCUGCUGGGCUCUGAAGCCAGUUUGCCUGGGUUCUAGUUUCAACUCCUGACUCUCCCAUUUCCUGGUUAUGUGACUUUGGGGGAAGUAACAUAACCUCUGUACUGUACUUGCAUCUCCUCAUUUGUAAAGUGGGUAUGGGCCAGCGCAGUGGCUCAUGCCUGUAAUCCCAGCACUUUGGGAGGCCAAGGAGGGUGAUCACCUGAGGUCAGGAGUUCAAGACCAGCCUGGCCAACAAGGUGAAACCCCAUCUCUACAAAAAUACAAAAAUUAGCCUGGCAUGAUGGCAGGUGCCUGUAAUCCCAGUUACUCAGGGGCUAAGGUGGAAGAAUUGCUUGAACCCAGGAAGUGGAGGUUGCAAUGAGCUGAGAUCGUGCCAACGCACUCCAUCCUGGGCAACAGAGUGAGACUCUGUCUCAAAAUAAAAAUAAAAAUAAAUAAAAAUAAAAUGGGUAUGAUAGUACCUGCCAUACAGAAUGAUGAGGUUUAUAUGAGAUAACACAUGUGAAGGGCUUAGAUCAGAUUCUAUACAUGUAGCUAUUGUAAAUAUUGCCAUUCCACAAGGGGAUGGGGAGGUGCCCAUGACCAGCCAGGAACCCCAGGUUCCUCUGGGGCCCACAGAAGUUUGGGGCUCUGCUGAGGCCUGUGGCUUUUAGCCACAGCUCAGUUCAGCCUCCACCUAACAGCCUGGAUUUAGGGCCAAGAACUCUGUGUUCAAAUCCUGGUUUUGUCACCAAUUAAGUGGGUGAUGUCAUCAAAGUUUCUCCUUGGACCCCCAGUUUGGUAAAAUAGAUGGAAUUGGAGAGUAUUAGGAGGAUUGAAUGCAACAAGGGCCAUGGACUCUAGAGCCCAUUCGAGUGUAAAGCAAAAUUUAUACGCCAUCCAAAGCUCACUCCCUUGGUCCCCUGACCCAACCCUAGGAUCCAUAGCGGGGAGGUAGGGGAAGGAGGUCCCUACAUUGACUACCCCAGUGCUUUUCCAUAACACCACAAACAUUUGCAGGGGUUUCUCAUGGAAU
This 2985-nucleotide long non-coding RNA is filed under the name Homo sapiens (human). RNAcentral describes it as "non-protein coding lnc-CDK5R2-4:1". The record is from RNAcentral. Lineage: Eukaryota; Metazoa; Chordata; Mammalia; Primates; Hominidae.